Molecule: non-coding RNA, 2033 nt
Organism: Oryza sativa Japonica Group (Japanese rice)
Lineage: Eukaryota; Viridiplantae; Streptophyta; Magnoliopsida; Poales; Poaceae
Source: RefSeq, a predicted model, not a curated record
CUCCCGUUCCGCGGUCGCAUUUCCUCGAACAGCUUCCGCGCCCUCGGCGAGCAGUUGCGCCGCCGCCGCCGCGCGGUUGCGGUGGUGCCGUCUCCCAUUCCGGCGAGGAGGCGCCGGAGGGUGGGACGCUGGCUCGUCGUCGGUGGAUAUCGAGAGAAUGGGGGCAAGCGCCACAGGCUGUGAGAUGACACAUGCUAAAUGGUUUAGUAGUUUCUGGAAGACAUAUUACAACAUGUGCAGCUGUGGUUUUUCUCCAUGGACACAGCCAUGUGACUAUCUGGUCUAGCGGCAGAAUUGUUGGACAUUUUGCUGAAUAGAUGAUUGAAACACUCUGCUCAAUGGGCCUCCAAUAUAUGUAAUACGCAUGGGCAGAUAGGCUACACGCCUACACACCAGGUCAGAGUUUUGUUCAGCCCUUCCCUUCUUAUCUGUGUUGCUGAGAUUUCUUUAUGCCAUGUGUGUUUGCUAUGGAUGUGAUUUUUUUUUUAAAACAAUGCAUAUGGAUGGUUACAUACGGCCUAAUAAGCACCUAUAUAUGAUGCACACAACCAUCAAACUAAAGUAAAUGGAAACAUGUCAAUCGCGCCGCCUGAAAGCAACAUAUCCUCAGAAACAAGUGUCCAAAAAUUGCAGUAUUCCAGUCUGUUUGUUACGCCAUUCAUCAUAGUAUAGGAAAAAAACACCCUGGAUGAUCGAUCCAUUUCAAAAUGUAUGGACCCAACAGGCAUAUAUACUCUGGUCCUCAAGGUUAUUAUCUGCAUAUGGAAUAUAUUUUCUCUGUUAUAUCUCCAUCACAUAGUUCUUCUUCUGUCAAUAGUUGGCCUACCCGAUAAAUCCCAUCACUUCAGAUAGCUAGCAGCCAUGCAUUCACCCCCAAAAGAUAAUAAAAUUGUUGAGCUGAUCGAUCAUAUAUGCCAGCAUUUGCAUACGUGGUCAAUCAUCGUACGCUUGUUGUUCCUCACGAUCAGAAUACAGGGCGCGAGAGAGGUUCCAUCCAACUGAUCGAUGUGAUGCUAGCUAGAGUACACAUGCAUCACAUGAGAAUUGUGAAUUGCCGGCUAUAUGUAUAUAGCUUGUUAUAGCUCGAUCGAUCGAUCGAUCGAAUCGAUCUUGUGGCUCAUGUGAUUUGCGAAUCCAUGUUAGGUCCAGGAAUUAGGGGCUCAGAAUGCACGUAGUGCAUGUGGCGCUCACACAGGCCACUAACUUAAUUAGUUCUAGCCGCAGCUAGCAUGGAAAUAUUACGUGCGUACCGGUCAUGCAUUUAUAUAUGAAUGCUUUCACCUCAUGGCAAAUAAAGAAAAAGGAACGAAUGCUUCUCAUCAUUCUUGCAUAUAUACUAUUAGCCGGAGAUCGAGCGAAGGAUUGUAUAGAGUUUCUGUUGGCAUGCUUGACUACUCGAGUAACUCGACAUCACAAUAUUGUGCUCUGUUUACAUAUAUUUAUAUAUAGUCGCUCUGUUGAGUUGCCUAGAUUUAAUCAAUAAUUUUUUUUAAAAAAAAUAGUUGAAUUAUUCAGCAUCAUAUCUGUAACAUUAGAUUAGUCAUCGAAAAUAUCUUAAUAUCUUACAUUUACAAACUUAUUUCACUUUCAAGUUUCUUUUAAAACAAUGAUUAAAGUUUAUCCACUUCUGAUCAAAAUCAAUAAGGUAGUAGUAUUUGUGAAUGGAGGAAGUUUCUAUGCUACUUUAAAAGAAUGUAGUGAUGGUGGCAAUGAACCCGCUACUCUUAUUAUAGUUUUACAAAUUACCUCUUGAACUUCUUAAUAUUAAAAACCAAUCAAAUUUAAAUGGAUAGUCACAUAUAUAGUCAAAUUAAGGUGAAUGUUCACUAUAGCAAAAGAAUAGGUAACAUUUUGUAGAAAAUAUAUUUUUUUAUUUGUUUUAGGUAAUACUAGAAUAUAUUACAUUGCAUUCAGCUAGUAUAUGUAAAUUUAGGCUGUGUUUAGUUCGUGUGCUAAUUUUUUUUUGAAGUAUAUGGACACACAUUUAAAGUAUUAAACGUAGACUAAUAACAAAAUAAAUUACAGAUUCCGCC